This 407-nucleotide ribosomal RNA is filed under the name uncultured bacterium. Its description in RNAcentral is "bacterial SSU rRNA". It matches the Rfam family "Bacterial small subunit ribosomal RNA", at positions 976 to 1371 of the family's 1533-position model. The record is from RNAcentral.
AUCCCUUGACAUCCUGCGAACUUUCUAGAGAUAGAUUGGUGCCUUCGGGAACGCAGUGACAGGUGCUGCAUGGCUGUCGUCAGCUCGUGUCGUGAGAUGUUGGGUUAAGUCCCGCAACGAGCGCAACCCUUAUCAUUAGUUGCUAACAUUUAGUUGAGAACUCUAAUGAGACUGCCGGUGAUAAACCGGAGGAAGGCGGGGACGACGUCAAGUCAUCAUGGCCCUUAUGGGAUGGGCUACACACGUGCUACAAUGGGGGGUACAAAGAGCAGCCAACUGGCGACAGUGCGCGAAUCUCAUAAAACCUCUCGUAGUCCGGAUCGGAGUCUGCAACUCGACUCCGUGAAGUCGGAAUCGCUAGUAAUCGUGAAUCAGAAUGUCACGGAGAAUUCGUAUAGGCGGGCACU